CCAAUAGUCUUACACAUUCAUAUGAUCUCUUUCAUUUUAAUCACAGACUUUAUGACUUUGUCCAAAAAUGUGAGAACUUAUUUCCCAAAGCAUUCUAAAAUGAAAAUCCGAAUAGCCAAAUUUUGCGCCUUUAUCAGAACCCUAAUAUUAAACCCCUAUGAUUACUGCUUUCUAGUAAAAUUCAAUCCAUUCCAAAGAGGUUUUUGGUGACGUGCGAGCUGCAAUGGCGCAUAUUGCACCACAAGAAGUGGAGCGCAUGCGUUGUUUGUUUUGACAAGAGAAGCCAUGGUUUGUGUAUCGUGAGAGGCCAGCAAAUUGCGAUCAUAACCUAUAAGUUGCUUUAGGUUCUGGACCUAGUAAUGUUGUCAUGUAAUCUUGAACACGAGCUGACUGGAUGAGAUUAACAGGUAAGUUAGUAGGUUUAUGGCCCGGGUCUCUUAUAUUUUCACUCCUAAAAAGCAGGUGCUGUAAAAGUUUUUGCCCAAUCAUAUGUGCACCUUGAUUGUAUCUAAGUGCAGAAUUUUACAUCUCAUUUUUCUUCUUUUAGUUAUUUUUGGGUUCUUUGUGGAAAGACGAGGAGGGAAAAAGGUUUUCUAAGGGCUCUUUUAGGAUGAAGAUAUAUUCUAAGAGGCAACUUUGUUAAAAUUUUUAAAAAGGGUGGGUAGUAGGACAUAGUUUUAGAUAACUUGUAUUAAUAUACACUUAAAAAAAGAAUAUUGUUUUCAGCAUUUUUGGGCCAAUUAGUAUUUUACUAAUAAUUUUCAAGUAUAACUGAUUAAAGGUUGGUAAGAGCUAAACAUUCCUAAAAUUGGAUCAUAAAAAAUGUAAUUUGAUGUAGAAAUAGUAACAUUUUGGAUUUCAGAGGAUCUCAUCUGUAUACUGUAUUUUGGAACUACUGUGUUUAUGUCUACAAUUGCAGAAUUUAUCAUCAGCAGGAUAAAAGGAGUAGUUGGACUACAUUCUAUUUUUGGAUGGUGUAAUUGUUCGAGUUCUCAUUUAAUAAAUACUAUAGUGCUGUGUGUGAAGUUGCAGUCCCACAACUUUAGAGUGGUAACUAUCUACAGGUAUUGAAUGAAUAUUUUUGUUGAGGUGAAAUUAAUGUUCUUUAACUGGCAGAGGUAGAAGGCAAUUGUGUUAUUUAUAUGCCUGCCUAAUGCAAUAAUGAAAAGGUGGAGCCUUGCUAACUGUGUUUGCUAUACUGUGGUAUUGGUAAAUAUGAGUAAUUGUGAAUUCCUAAAUAAAAUAAGGAAUCUCAGACAAUAGUUUUUUAUUUGGGGACACUUGAAAAGGUGUGUGUAGAUAAGUUACAUGUUUUGUUUUUUAUUUUUAUAAAAAUCCCUUUUUAUUCA
Salvia splendens (bonfire salvia) is the source of this 1349-nucleotide long non-coding RNA. RefSeq lists it as uncharacterized. The transcript has 4 exons. NCBI's taxonomy places the organism in Eukaryota, Viridiplantae, Streptophyta, Magnoliopsida, Lamiales, Lamiaceae. The record is from RefSeq and is a predicted model, not a curated record.